RNAcentral lists this unclassified non-coding RNA (200 nucleotides) under soil metagenome. RNAcentral's name for it is "partial contains internal transcribed spacer 2 and large subunit ribosomal RNA". The record is from RNAcentral.
CUUGGGGGGUUUAUUGCCGGCUUUCACAAGUCACGCUCCCCUUAAAUGCAUUAGCCGGUGCCUUCUAACCGUCUAUUGGUGUGAUAAUUAUCUACGCCGUGGGGCAGUUUCAAUGGUGCAUUGCUUCUAACCGUCUGUUCAUUCGGACAAUACAAUGACAUUUUGACCUCAAAUCAGGUAGGACUACCCGCUGAACUUAA